Molecule: long non-coding RNA, 848 nt
Filed under: Bos taurus (domestic cattle)
Lineage: Eukaryota; Metazoa; Chordata; Mammalia; Artiodactyla; Bovidae
Description: long non-coding RNA NONBTAT026251
Source: RNAcentral
GAUUUCAAGGCUCACACCUUUAAUUGUGUAUUCCGCUUAUAAAAAACAAACAAAAACUACCCAGGCAACUUAAUCCAUUAUUAUAAAAGAAGCAAUUAUUGAUACUACUAUUUUCUGAUUUUAGUACUUUAGUUAACAAAUACAAACAUAGUUUGCUUGAGAUAUGAAGAAGUCUAUUUAAUUAUUCCUGUAGGUAAUUAAACAGAUUAAAAGUAAUUUAGAUCACAAAAGCUGCAAAAUAAAAUAAACUCAGAAAUAACUCAGAAUAAGAAAGCUUUAAACAUAGCUUUAUACAUCAUUCAUUUGCCAACUUGACUAAGACAGUGGCCCUCCACAUGUAUGAAAUCCAUUUUAUUGUUUCCUUCCAAUAGCUGUCUGCAAUAAUUAUGGGGGAAAAAUUGGGAAUGUUUUGCAGGAGCUGGUUAAUUUUUUAUAAAGAUGAUAAAACUAAAAUGCAUACAACAUGUUAUUUGCCUGGUUAAAAAUGUCAGAGAAGUAGAGCAUAAUGGUAAAGAUGCAACACCACACACAACUUGUUCGAACUUGAAGCUGGCUUGAGAUUUAAGAAGAGACAAUGUGGAAACAAGAACACUGGACUCAGUCACCUACAUACUGCCUCAAAAAACUAUAUUGCAAGUAUGAUGUUAUCAACAAAACAUACACUGGGCUACAGUCUGCAGAGUGACACCAUAUGAUAACAGAUGGAGCUAGGUAUAAGACAACAAAUGUGUUUUCAUCACAUUCUGGUAUGCUCAAAAGUUGAUGAGUGAAAGCAUUUUGAAUAAUAAAGCACCGUUGUCAUCCUUCAUUUUCAAAGAUGACACUAGCUGACAGGAAAUCUUGUCUGA